AGAGUUUGAUCCUGGCUCAGAUUGAACGCUGGCGGCAGGCCUAACACAUGCAAGUCGAACGGUAACAGGAAGAAGCUUGCUUCUUUGCUGACGAGUGGCGGACGGGUGAGUAAUGUCUGGGAAACUGCCUGAUGGAGGGGGAUAACUACUGGAAACGGUAGCUAAUACCGCAUAACGUCGCAAGACCAAAGAGGGGGACCUUCGGGCCUCUUGCCAUCGGAUGUGCCCAGAUGGGAUUAGCUUGUUGGUGGGGUAACGGCUCACCAAGGCGACGAUCCCUAGCUGGUCUGAGAGGAUGACCAGCCACACUGGAACUGAGACACGGUCCAGACUCCUACGGGAGGCAGCAGUGGGGAAUAUUGCACAAUGGGCGCAAGCCUGAUGCAGCCAUGCCGCGUGUAUGAAGAAGGCCUUCGGGUUGUAAAGACUUUUCAGCGGGGAGGAAGGGAGUAAAGUUAAUACCUUUGCUCAUUGACGUUACCCGCAGAAGAAGCACCGGCUAACUCCGUGCCAGCAGCCGCGGUAGUACGGAGGGUGCAAGCGUUAAUCGGAAUUACUGGGCGUAAAGCGCACGCAGGCGGUUUGUUAAGUCAGAUGUGAAAUCCCCGGGCUCAACCUGGGAACUGCAUCUGAUACUGGCAAGCUUGAGUCUCGUAGAGGGGGGUAGAAUUCCAGGUGUAGCGGUGAAAUGCGUAGAGAUCUGGAGGAAUACCGGUGGCGAAGGCGGCCCCCUGGACGAAGACUGACGCUCAGGUGCGAAAGCGUGGGGAGCAAACAGGAUUAGAUACCCUGGUAGUCCACGCCGUAAACGAUGUCGACUUGGAGGUUGUGCCCUUGAGGCGUGGCUUCCGGAGCUAACGCGUUAAGUCGACCGCCUGGGGGAGUACGGCCGCAAGGUUAAAACUCAAAUGAAUUGACGGGGGCCCGCACAAGCGGUGGAGCAAGUGGGUUUAAUUCGAUGCAACGCGAAGAACCUUACCUGGUCUUGACAUCCACAGAACUUUCCAGAGAUGGAUUGGUGCCUUCGGGAACUGUGAGACAGGUGCUGCAUGGCUGUCGUCAGCUCGUGUUGUGAAAUGUUGGGUUAAGUCCCGCAACGAGCGCAACCCUUAUCCUUUGUUGCCAGCGGUCCGGCCGGGAACUCAAAGGAGACUGCCAGUGAUAAACUGGAGGAAGGUGGGGAUGACGUCAAGUCAUCAUGGCCCUUACGACCAGGGCUACACACGUGCUACAAUGGCGCAUACAAAGAGAAGCGACCUCGCGAGAGCAAGCGGACCUCAUAAAGUGCGUCGUAGUCCGGAUUGGAGUCUGCAACUCGACUCCAUGAAGUCGGAAUCGCUAGUAAUCGUGGAUCAGAAUGCCACGGUGAAUACGUUCCCGGGCCUUGCACACACCGCCCGUC
Molecule: ribosomal RNA, 1402 nt
Filed under: uncultured bacterium
Lineage: Bacteria
Description: bacterial SSU rRNA
Rfam family: Bacterial small subunit ribosomal RNA
Source: RNAcentral